GUUAAGUCGACCGCCUGGGGAGUACGGCCGCAAGGUUAAAACUCAAAUGAAUUGACGGGGGCCCGCACAAGCGGUGGAGCAUGUGGUUUAAUUCGAUGCAACGCGAAGAACCUUACCUGGUCUUGACAUCCACAGAACUUUCCAGAGAUGGAUUGGUGCCUUCGGGAACUGUGAGACAGGUGCUGCAUGGCUGUCGUCAGCUCGUGUUGUGAAAUGUUGGGUUAAGUCCCGCAACGAGCGCAACCCUUAUCCUUUGUUGCCAGCGGUCCGGCCGGGAACUCAAAGGAGACUGCCAGUGAUAAACUGGAGGAAGGUGGGGAUGACGUCAAGUCAUCAUGGCCCUUACGACCAGGGCUACACACGUGCUACAAUGGCGCAUACAAAGAGAAGCGACCUCGCGAGAGCAAGCGGACCUCAUAAAGUGCGUCGUAGUCCGGAUUGGAGUCUGCAACUCGACUCCAUGAAGUCGGAAUCGCUAGUAAUCGUGGAUCAGAAUGCCACGGUGAAUACGUUCCCGGGCCUUGUACACACCGCCCGUCACACCAUGGGAGUGGGUUGCAAAAGAAGUAGGUAGCUUAACCUUCGGGAGGGCGCUUACCACUUUGUGAUUCAUGACUGGGGUGAAGUCGUAACAAGGUAACCGUAGGGGAACCUGCGGUUG
This 661-nucleotide ribosomal RNA is filed under the name Escherichia coli. RNAcentral's name for it is "bacterial SSU rRNA". It matches the Rfam family "Bacterial small subunit ribosomal RNA", at positions 859 to 1520 of the family's 1533-position model. The record is from RNAcentral. Lineage: Bacteria; Pseudomonadati; Pseudomonadota; Gammaproteobacteria; Enterobacterales; Enterobacteriaceae.